AGCAUCCAUUCGUAUCUCAUCCGGUUAAUGAUAUAGAAGACACUAAGGUUACCAACAAGUUUCUGAAGUGGCUGUCUGUGGAUAUUCUUAAAUUUCAUGCAAAAAGAAGCAACAAGCAAGAACACUAUAAGAAGGGCAAGUCCAAAAUAUCAGUAAUCAGUUUUGGAGUUUUAGCUGUGGAAAACAAGAAUUGGUUCUACAUUAUGGGUACUCCUGGACAAUCAUGGUCUGAUGAGAUGCAUUUAUGUACAUGAUUCUUUGUUGUCUGCUGGUCAUGAUGCUGGGGUACUUGCUGAAGUUGAAAAGUUAGCUAAGGUUAUACCUAUAUGUCUCGUUACAUAAAUUUUACGAGAAGAAGGGUAUUGAUAUUGCUACUCAUUCAAAUUACAAAUUCUAUGACAAGAUAGAUCUAUUUGACAUUUAUGUGGUGGAGGAUUUGUCUCAACAACCAAGUGGCAGUUUGGAUUGUGGUUUAUAUAUGGUGACAUAUGCCGAGUGUCUCACCUUUGGAGAUAUUGUUUCACCUGUUGAUUUUGAUCCAGAUCUGAUUCGUACGAGAUAUGCUUCUAUUUUGUGGAAUUAUGGUUUGAAGAAAGAAGAAGAGAAUGCACAAAGUGAUGAUGAAGCGCCAAUGAGACCUCCUCGUGAAAUUGGUUUACAGAAGACACUGAAGUUCAUGAAAUUUGAUGUUUAUUUUUAUUUUGCUGUAAUUUACAUUAUUUAACAUCAGU
This is a long non-coding RNA of Capsicum annuum, 731 nucleotides long. RefSeq lists it as uncharacterized. The record is from RefSeq and is a predicted model, not a curated record. NCBI's taxonomy places the organism in Eukaryota, Viridiplantae, Streptophyta, Magnoliopsida, Solanales, Solanaceae. The transcript has 4 exons.